GACGAACGCUGGCGGCGUGCUUAACACAUGCAAGUCGAACGGAAAGGCCCCUUUGGGGGUACUCGAGUGGCGAACGGGUGAGUAACACGUGAGUAACCUGCCCUUGACUUCGGGAUAACUUCAGGAAACUGGGGCUAAUACCGGAUAGGAAUCCUUGCUGCAUGGGGGGGGUUGGAAAGCUUCGGCGGUUUUGGAUGGACUCGCGGCUUAUCAGCUUGUUGGUGGGGUAGUGGCUUACCAAGGCUUUGACGGGUAGCCGGCCUGAGAGGGCGACCGGCCACAUUGGGACUGAGAUACGGCCCAGACUCCUACGGGAGGCAGCAGUGGGGAAUAUUGCACAAUGGGCGGAAGCCUGAUGCAGCAACGCCGCGUGCGGGAUGACGGCCUUCGGGUUGUAAACCGCUUUCAGCAGGGGCGAAGCUUUUGUGACGGUACCUGCAGAAGAAGCACCGGCUAACUACGUG
Molecule: ribosomal RNA, 464 nt
Filed under: uncultured bacterium
Lineage: Bacteria
Description: partial 16S ribosomal RNA
Rfam family: Bacterial small subunit ribosomal RNA
Source: RNAcentral